UCAAAACUCUCUCCUCUCUCAUGUCAUUAUUAGUGUGAAAAAAAUUCUAUCUUGGCAAGAAAGCUUAUCCGGAGAUAGGAAGAUCCAAUGCAAUUAAUUGGCGUUAAAGGGCUUAAAUCCAUGAUUGAUAAGGAAGCUGAUAUUAUAUCACAUAUCAUGCACCAUGCAGAUCUCUCCAGGUCAUCAACCUUCAUCUGCUACUGCUCUUCCUGAAGGCCUUGGCAUGAAGCACGGCAAAGCCCAAAGGGCAAACCAGUUUCUGGAAUCCUUGAAAGCAGAAGAUGAAAUGAUUGUUGAAGACAUGCAGCUAUCAAUGUUAGCCCAAUAUACAUCAACUGCUCAAAAGCUAACUGAUCCCUGUCACUUUGACCGCUGAGAAGAAACUCAAUGUCACUCUAAAACGGGAUGGUGGAAUGAGUAACUUCGAUGUUCAAGGGAAAUUAUCACUUCAAAUUCUUAACCAAGAAGAUGGGUUCAUCCAAGUUCAGGUCUACCAUCAAUCUCUCUCUCACACUCUUUGUCUCUGUUGUGCAUGCCUGAUUGAGAUUGAAACUAGGGGAAUCCAUGCGUCAUUUUCAAGACACAUCCUAACAUGAACAAAGAAUUAUUCGCUAAUGAAAGCAUUUUAGGCUUGAGGGAUCCCAACAGACCUUUCCCACUGGUCAAAACAGGGAUCCAGGUGUUGGACUUUGAAGUGGAGAAUGCAAAGAGUUGAUGAGUCAAUGGUGCCCCUGACACGUGGAUCCAAAUCUAAAGCAAUAGCUUAUCUGAUCACUUUACACUUUCUGUUGUAUGUUUUAAUGCUGUGUUUAAUUCUAUUGCAGUCGAUUGCUGGCCAUUUGAUUCUGGAAAUGAAACAUGUGUCAGCAUUGAGUAUGAAGCUUCAUUAAUGCUUGAUCUAUGAAACAUUAUGAUUUCAGUUGCUCUACCAGCCCUUCGAGAUGCACCAAGGGUUAGGCAGAUUGAUGGAGAACAGAACCUUGCAGCUUCUCAGACAGCACUUGAAGAAAUCACAACAGCCUUUGGAAUUUCUACUACAUGAUGCUUCCCUUUCAAGCGCUGAGAAACACAGGCGGUCUGCAUAGCCCUUCACAAAGGACCUCUAACGUAGACAUGCAAUCAAAUCAGCAUUACUUUGGAUCUCUCCUUUAUGUACAGAUUUCAGCUUCUUUUUGCUUGCUUCAACUGCAGAGAAAUCACUAAAAAAAUACCAGUGGAGGACGAUGAUUUCAGCAUGACAAACAACGCUUUAUCGGAGGCCGAGGAUGCCUUUAUUGUUCACAUUAUGGAGAAGUGGGUCAUUGGGUACAAACUUGCUAUAAAUUAUACAGGUACCCACCGGGUCACCUAAUGGCAAGGUAUGGGUCAAGGUCAAAACAUUUCAACAACAAAAAUUCUAUAGCCAAUCAUGUGUCCAAAGAAGCCUCUGUAGAAGAUGGACAACCACUUAUCGGGAUUUCACAGGAACAAUUAAAAUAGCUCUUAUCACUUUUAGAUAAUAAAAGUAAAGGACCCAGCUCAUGCAAAUAUCGUAUCUAAACCAAGUUUGUCUGAGGUCAAUUCCCGUAGUUGGAUCAUUGAUAGCGGAGCAACAAAUCACAUUUCUUCUAAAUUAUUUUCUAACAAGCAUAAAAAAUGCGCAUUGCCUCCAGUAUUACUGCCUAGUGGAGAAAAGGCUAAAAUUGUUGCAAAUGAUUCUUUACCUCUUAAUUCUGUCUAUUAUCUGUACAAUAUGUUAUAUGUACAUACAUUUAAAGUAGAUUUGAUAUCUAUCACUCGUUUGACGAGAGACUUGAAUUGCUCAAUAAUUUUCUUUCCUUAUUGGU
Populus euphratica (Euphrates poplar) is the source of this 1826-nucleotide long non-coding RNA. RefSeq lists it as uncharacterized. The record is from RefSeq and is a predicted model, not a curated record. The transcript has 6 exons. NCBI's taxonomy places the organism in Eukaryota, Viridiplantae, Streptophyta, Magnoliopsida, Malpighiales, Salicaceae.